AACAAGUUCAAGUUAAAAGAAACCCAUUUGUUCUGCGUUGGUGUCCCCCCCAGGAGCUCUAGGUCGUUCUGGCUGAUGUGAGGGCUGCAGGGAGAGGUGUCGCUGCAGCUCGUACGCCCUGCGUGCUUCUGCUCACUUUCACUUCCUGCCUAAGCAGCAGCACCUCACAUGGACCACAGAAGGCUUCCUGGAAGACAUGCCCUAUUGCACGUGAGGAUUCAAGAGCCAACUGGGCCCCGGUGGAUGCCAUGGAACCAGCUGGCAGACCUGCGACUGUGGAGAGCUCUCCUCAUGCUCAGCUUGGCAAAGCUGCUCCUCUUGCUUGUUCUCCUUUUCUUUGUACAUAAUAAAAUGGGCUUUUGAUUACUCUUCUCCCCAGAAAAUAUACAUAUAUAUGCUGUUUGGUGGAAGACUUGAGUCCACUGUUGAACAGAAAUGUGUCUUUCUGUCUGUUUCUCUCUGCUUCCAGUUUCUCAAUCUCUGUCUCCCCUUUCCUCUUGUAUCCCAAGGAUUCUGUUAUAAAAGCUUGUGUGUGAGAACGAGACCUUUG
Molecule: long non-coding RNA, 550 nt
Filed under: Marmota monax (woodchuck)
Lineage: Eukaryota; Metazoa; Chordata; Mammalia; Rodentia; Sciuridae
Source: RNAcentral